UACGAAGGGGGCUAGCGUUGCUCGGAAUCACUGGGCGUAAAGCGCACGUAGGCGGCCCUUUAAGUCAGGGGUGAAAUCCUGGAGCUCAACUCCAGAACUGCCUUUGAUACUGAGAAGCUUGAGUCCGGGAGAGGUGAGUGGAACUGCGAGUGUAGAGGUGAAAUUCGUAGAUAUUCGCAAGAACACCAGUGGCGAAGGCGGCUCACUGGCCCGGUACUGACGCUGAGGUGCGAAAGCGUGGGGAGCAAACAGG
RNAcentral lists this ribosomal RNA (253 nucleotides) under uncultured bacterium. RNAcentral's name for it is "partial 16S ribosomal RNA". It matches the Rfam family "Bacterial small subunit ribosomal RNA", at positions 524 to 776 of the family's 1533-position model. The record is from RNAcentral.